Molecule: long non-coding RNA, 1260 nt
Organism: Rhododendron vialii
Lineage: Eukaryota; Viridiplantae; Streptophyta; Magnoliopsida; Ericales; Ericaceae
Exons: 4
Source: RefSeq, a predicted model, not a curated record
AUCGUAGACGUCAAAUGAAGUUUUUAAGAGUCCAAAUUUAUUUUUAAUUUAUGACUAAUAGUAAAUAAUUAUGACCAAUAAUAAAUUUAACAAAUCUAAUCUACUGAUUUUUAAGAUGAAUGAUUUAGAUAAAUAAGGGCACGAAAGGUACAAAUUUCUAGAAAUAAACCACAAGGCUCUAGCCAAGGGAAUAGGCCAGAAUCCCAUACAAAUUUCUAGAAAUAAACCACAAGGCUCUAGCCAAGGGAAUAGGCCAGAAUCCCAUCUCUCUCAUUUCUUUUCUUUUUCAUCGCAGAAUCUCUCUCUUUCUCUCUCUCUCUCCUCUUUGAUAUUAACGCCUGAAUCGGCAGCCCUACUCUCCAAAGCAAACACCAUCUCUCUCCACCUCUCAGUCCUACGCGCCACCACCCACGCCCCCUCCGGCCGUCGGUUAGAUCGACGCAACUACGGCCCUGGGUUCUCUAACCCAACUCCGGCCAUGGGUUCUCUAACCCAGUACUGAUCGGAACAAACCCAGUAUCCUCUCUCCUCUACUGAUCGGAACUCUUUUCUUGUAGCCGGCGUCAGUGACCCAUGAGUGAUGGUUGAUACUUCAUAUAGGCAACGCUACGUGGUACUCUGGAAGCGCUGAAUAAAUAGUUGUUCAAAACACACCCGUCGCUUUCCCUUCAACUUAGUUAUUUUUUUUGAAUUAGGAGAUGGUCUUAUUGAUUCAGUGAAAGCUCCACAGUAGAAGAGAGACAAGCAGAGUUAUGCCAUAUGGAGCAGAGUUAUACCCAACCACGCUAUACCCAACCGAAAAAUAGAAUGUCACCUGGAGCAGAGUUAUGCCAUAUGGAGUGUUCUUAAAACACGUUUGCCUCCUCUCGGGUGGUGCUCAAUGUUUAUCCCAACAUAUGUAUCCCAGGAUACAACAGUUUCUCGUAGUCCAACCACACCACGUACCUACUAAAACUGCCUAGCUUACAGAAUUGCACCCGGACUACUCCCUCACACCGGAAGAACGAAGCUAGAACAAAAAUGGAAGGUACAAAUAGAAUUCUGGUGUAGGCAUCAAGUGGGCGAUUGACCUCUCAGUAGCAAACACAAUCUAUCCGUCAGAAUGUAUAAAAUCAAAUCUAUUCAACCGUGAGACUAUGAUUUGAUUCUGAUUUUGAUCCACUUGAUACUUCAUGUUGAGAAAGUUUCAUUCACAACAUUAGAAGCAACAAAGAUUUGCACACACUUGGAUCGAUCUAAACUCGACAGGAAGCAACUCUC